RNAcentral lists this ribosomal RNA (492 nucleotides) under uncultured bacterium. RNAcentral describes it as "partial 16S ribosomal RNA". It matches the Rfam family "Bacterial small subunit ribosomal RNA", at positions 30 to 507 of the family's 1533-position model. The record is from RNAcentral.
AUUGAACGCUGGCGGUAGGCCUAACACAUGCAAGUCGAACGGCAGCACAGUAAUAGCUUGCUCUUACGGGUGGCGAGUGGCGGACGGGUGAGGAAUACCUCGGUAUCUACUUUUUCGUGGGUGAUAACGUAGGGAAACUUACCCUAAUACCGCAUACGACCUACGGGUGAAAGCAUGGGAUCUUCGGACCUUGCGCGAUUGAAUGACCCGAUGUCGGAUUAGCUAGUUGGCGGGGUAAAGGCCCACCAAGGCGACGAUCCGUAGCUGGUCUGAGAGGAUGAUCAGCCACACUGGAACUGAGACACGGUCCAGACUCCUACGGGAGGCAGCAGUGGGGAAUAUUGGACAAUGGGCGCAAGCCUGAUCCAGCCAUGCCGCGUGGGUGAAGAAGGCCUUCGGGUUGUAAAGCCCUUUUGUUGGGAAAGAAAAGCAGCAGGUUAAUACCCCGCUGUUCUGACGGUACCAAAAGAAUAAGCACCGGCUAACUUCGUG